This is a long non-coding RNA of Drosophila miranda, 782 nucleotides long. RefSeq lists it as uncharacterized. The record is from RefSeq and is a predicted model, not a curated record. The transcript has 2 exons. NCBI's taxonomy places the organism in Eukaryota, Metazoa, Arthropoda, Insecta, Diptera, Drosophilidae.
GUGCUGGGAAUGUCAAACAACUACGAAACAGUAUCAGAAAACAUCAAAUAUUUUUUGUCGUAAUCCUGCUUCAAACUAUCAAGAGCCUUCUAAUCAUUUUCUGCACGCCUUAUCUGUUACCAAUGCAUCGUCAACGGGACAUGACAAUUUAUUUUAGGCAGAUGUGAUGAAUGAUGCUGGUUACUCCUAUCCCUCCUCUGUAUUCGCUGAGUUUCGGGUUCUUUAAGUGCAGAGAUGUACAGAGCCUUUGUGAUAACGCAUAUAUCGGUUUUGGCGCUUUCUUUUAAUUCAAGAAGGUCGAAAAGUAAUGCACUGGGAUAAGACAAUGGUUAGCCCAUAUACUGCAGGGUAUGCAAAAACUAUGCCGUCACAAAGUUCAACGUAAUUGAUUUACAAAAGAACGAAAAAACGAGAAAUUUCCACAAAAAAUCUGUAUCCGCUUCAAUAGAUAAAUGGUCAAUGGCAGGAACGGAAAAGUUGACAAUUAUUAUGCCAUUGUACACAUCAAAAUGUUUUCCAAAAACUAUGUAUGGGCAUCAGAGGGUUAACGCAGCGAAACAAACACAAAUUAUGCUGCCAAUGCACACAAGCAAACGCCGCCAAUUUAUGCACAAUUGCCGCAACGAUAACGUUACCGAAGUAUUGGCAGCACCAAUAAGCGGUACUUCGCAAAAGAGAAUUGAAAACAGCGGCAAUGACCGGUGCGUCUGAUUAGCGAGUACAGUAAACCCUCAUCAAUUUUCACUUUUCUUCAUUUCACCAAUAUUCCACAUAUAACUAUU